Molecule: RNA transcript, 2924 nt
Organism: Triticum aestivum (bread wheat)
Lineage: Eukaryota; Viridiplantae; Streptophyta; Magnoliopsida; Poales; Poaceae
Exons: 6
Source: RefSeq, a predicted model, not a curated record
AAAUCCCCUCGUCCGAUCCCCAACCUUCCCCCGAUCCCGUCGCCGCUGCUGCCUACCCCGCCUCCUACCGGUGCGCUACCACUCCCGCCUCCUUCCGGCGCGCCGUCAUCCCCGCCUCCUACCGGCGCGCCGCCGGACCCUCCUUCUUCCCUGGAGCACCGCCACCCCGCUGCCCUCGCCAUCUUCCCGAGCGCGCCGCUGCCGCCGUCUUUCCCAGAGCGCCACCGCCCCGCCACCCCCGCCCACGGGACCAGUGGUCCCAUCGCCGGUCUCCCCCCACCCAGAUCUGCCGGAGGCGCACCGGAUCCUGCCUCACGGCCGGUUCCUGCGACUCGGCCGCCGCCCCAACCGCUGCAGCAGCCGAACACCUCCACUAGGUGCCCCGGCGGUUCGGACCCCCACCUGGCCCCUCCCUCGAACCCAGCGAGCCUCCGCCCCGACCUACUUCCCGCGCGAGGUCGCCUCCGCCUCCUCCUGGCGCACCGCCGCCCCCACCAUCUCCACCUCCGCCUCCGCCGAUGCCUCCUUCUCCACCUCCGUUCGCAAGCGAUGGCGGCCGCGGUCUUCACCCCCAGCCACCAUGGCUGCAGAUCCACCCACGGCCGGUCGUCUAAGCUUCAAGCAUGGAUGGAUGGAUUCAGGAAGGUAUCCUUCCUCCCUGGGUGGAGCGAGCUGCAGAUCCCGUCCGGCCCUCCGGAACCGGCCGUCUCCGCCUCCUCCUCGCCGCCGCCGCUGGGGAUCACGUCUUCACCAAACGCGAGCUCCGCCCCAUCCGACCGACCGCAAAGGGAGAUAGGACAUGGCGGAAACAAAACUGCACGGCGAUGUGCAUUUCUGCAACACAUCAGGUCUACAUUUUCCAUUGCCCUGGACUUAUGAACGGAAGAAAAAGCAAUAUGAAGUUCCUGUCUGCAUCAAACUGCUUUCACUUAUAUUCUGCCGAAUUUCUUCCUUCUAUGGGACUGUACACGGGGAUUAUCUACAAGGGUUAUGUCCUUUGCAGGUAGAUUAUCUUAUAGGACGGGCGAAAUACAACAGAAGAAGCUCCUCCGCUGCUACUCGCCAAACUCCAAGCAAAAAGGACCUUCCACUUUCCUUGCUAAUGGGGCCUCAGUUUGUUCGGAAUCAGAUACAACCAUUUGAUCCAUUAUUGUUCGUGGGCAUCAUAUUUAAAAAAUAUAUCUUUUGGAUUUUGUAAAGUUUGCGGUUAAUAAGCCGGUGAGAGCUGAUGGUUCAGUUAGAUCCUGCAUUUACUUGACCUCUUUCUCUGUCAGGAGGAUAUUCAAUACCAAGAUUUAUGAUUUGGCAUAAGUGAGAUGACAUACAAGUGAGUUUAAUUCGUGAGAGUGAAAUAGCAACAGUUUAAUUAUCAUACCACCGGCAGCUGCACCUCAACUGCGGAAAAAGAAAUCUUGAAGAACCAAGACCACCACCAGCUGGAAGAAGAUUUCAUCCAGGAAAUUUAGUCCUAGGGACUUUGAUAUACAAUGAUACACCAAAGCAAGCAAAGAAGCCAAAAGAAGUUAAAUGUUUUUACCUGCUGCUGGCAUCCGAUGAGCAGUUGCAGGUGUCAACCAUAGGUAAUUCUUGUAAGAUACUUUCACAUUUCUCUAAUUUACUUAAGUAAAUCUUCAUCAGUUUGGCUUUAGGUGAAAAUGCCUGCUUGAGAAUUUAGGGAAAAUUACAUAUUACCUUUAGAGCUUUCAGUUCAUGAAGUAAUUGACCUCGUUUUUGCUUGUUUAUUCUGUAGUAUUGUUAUAUGAAGUGAGAGUUGCAUGUGCUUAUCUGAAGCUUAUACUAAUAAUUUGCCUCCCUAAUUGUGGCUGAUCUGGAGCUCAUACCCAUGUUGGGUGAGUAUCUCCCUCUCUGUUUGUUGGGCUGUCGGCAGCUCCUUUUUGCUGCGUCUCUGUAUACUAUAACCACUAUCCCUAAAAUAAGUAAACUAUAACCACACUCUUUGAUCAUAUUAUUUAGAAGAAAAAAGAUUAGAGAUGCAUUUAUUCAUAUUAAUGUAGACUGUGCCUGAUCCAAGAAAUAGAAGACUUAUACAUUGAUUGCAUCCACCGAUAAAAUCCCAAAUGUGUGUGGGCAAGACUAUCUUCGUGUUUUCAUAAUAUAAAAAAUAGUAGGUAAGUGUCAAUCUGUUGCUGGUUCAGAAUUUGAUAAGGUUGAAAACUUUGUAUGAAAAUCUUUGUAAUUCUUUUGAGUUGUGGAAGAGACAGCUGGGAUGACUUUGAUAAUAUGCAUUGGAUGGCGGAGGACGAAAAAUAAAUAAGGUGGGGCGGCUCUGAAGCAUAAAAAAAUUCCAAUGGAAAACGAAAGUAGUUCAUGCACACUAAAAUGCACACAAAUACUUUUUAAAAUCAUGCUAUUGUCCGGUCAUUUUCUCAAAAUGACACUAAAAUUUGAAUAAUAAUUACUUCUCUCCUUUUGCCUUCCAUUUUCCCGUCCAGUACAUUUUCCUCUUUUUAGUUCAUCGGAAAAAUUAACACAGCGGCCGCUAAAUUUUUUGAGAAGACGAACCAUGGAGAUUGGAGAUGAAGAGCUGAUCGCCGCCCCUGUGUACCUAUUCUGAUUGGAGUUCUUAUUACAGUUACAUGAUCAUGUGACAGCAUGGCAUCGAACAACACGGCCUUCACCUUAAUGCACCCCAAAGGUGGUCAUCGCCGAAGCACGCCAAGGGUGAGCCAUAACCAUACCGUUGACCCACCGGCGUGGUGAGGACAAAUUGCAUAGUAUCAUGUUUUUCAGUUAAAACCUGAGAACAGAAAGACGUAUCUAACACAGUAUGUAAAAUUUGUAAGCUCAUAUGAAAAUAGCUGAGAUCAAAUUAGGUAAGCACGUUCUUGCAAGCGAUGUAUUUUCUUACUUACGAGAAUUACCAGUUGCAUAUAUAAUAUACUGUAGUAGCCUAUAUUCAUGCA